Molecule: long non-coding RNA, 261 nt
Organism: Coregonus clupeaformis (lake whitefish)
Lineage: Eukaryota; Metazoa; Chordata; Actinopteri; Salmoniformes; Salmonidae
Exons: 2
Source: RefSeq, a predicted model, not a curated record
CAAGACGCUGAUCAUGUGAUGAGUUUGCAAAUCAAAUGCCCACUUGUGCUACCAUUGGACAGCGAAAAACAAGUUGUAACCAACAUGCAGUAUCUCCAGCUGGAAGAGUGGCAAGAACCAUUCGUCCGCCAGCUCAGGGACAAGCUACACUAUUCACAACCCUAUGAAAUAUUCAAUGUAAAUGCAUUGCAAGACUUUUUGAAACUUCAUGUAUUUGUAUUAUUUUUUUAAAAUUACAAAUAAAAGGAAAUGUAUGGUUUA